Molecule: ribosomal RNA, 489 nt
Filed under: uncultured bacterium
Lineage: Bacteria
Description: partial 16S ribosomal RNA
Rfam family: Bacterial small subunit ribosomal RNA
Source: RNAcentral
AUUGAACGCUGGCGGCAGGCCUAACACAUGCAAGUCGAACGGUAACAGGAAACAGCUUGCUGUUUCGCUGACGAGUGGCGGACGGGUGAGUAAUGUCUGGGAAACUGCCUGAUGGAGGGGGAUAACUACUGGAAACGGUAGCUAAUACCGCAUAACGUCGCAAGACCAAAGAGGGGGACCUUCGGGCCUCUUGCCAUCGGAUGUGCCCAGAUGGGAUUAGCUAGUAGGUGGGGUAACGGCUCACCUAGGCGACGAUCCCUAGCUGGUCUGAGAGGAUGACCAGCCACACUGGAACUGAGACACGGUCCAGACUCCUACGGGAGGCAGCAGUGGGGAAUAUUGCACAAUGGGCGCAAGCCUGAUGCAGCCAUGCCGCGCGUAUGAAGAAGGCCUUCGGGUUGUAAAGUACUUUCAGCGGGGAGGAAGGGAGUAAAGUUAAUACCUUUACUCAUGGACGUUACCCGCAGAAGAAACACCGGCUAACUCCGU